GGGAAGGGGCAGCUACCAUGCAAGUCGAGCGGUAGAGAGAAGCUUGCUUCUCUUGAGAGCGGCGGACGGGUGAGUAAUGCCUAGGAAUCUGCCUGGUAGUGGGGGAUAACGUUCGGAAACGAACGCUAAUACCGCAUACGUCCUACGGGAGAAAGCAGGGGACCUUCGGGCCUUGCGCUAUCAGAUGAGCCUAGGUCGGAUUAGCUAGUUGGUGAGGUAAUGGCUCACCAAGGCGACGAUCCGUAACUGGUCUGAGAGGAUGAUCAGUCACACUGGAACUGAGACACGGUCCAGACUCCUACGGGAGGCAGCAGUGGGGAAUAUUGGACAAUGGGCGAAAGCCUGAUCCAGCCAUGCCGCGUGUGUGAAGAAGGUCUUCGGAUUGUAAAGCACUUUAAGUUGGGAGGAAGGGCAUUAACCUAAUACGUUAGUGUUUUGACGUUACCGACAGAAUAAGCACCGGCUAACUCUGUGCCAGCAGCCGCGGUAAUACAGAGGGUGCAAGCGUUAAUCGGAAUUACUGGGCGUAAAGCGCGCGUAGGUGGUUUGUUAAGUUGGAUGUGAAAUCCCCGGGCUCAACCUGGGAACUGCAUUCAAAACUGACUGACUAGAGUAUGGUAGAGGGUGGUGGAAUUUCCUGUGUAGCGGUGAAAUGCGUAGAUAUAGGAAGGAACACCAGUGGCGAAGGCGACCACCUGGACUAAUACUGACACUGAGGUGCGAAAGCGUGGGGAGCAAACAGGAUUAGAUACCCUGGUAGUCCACGCCGUAAACGAUGUCAACUAGCCGUUGGAAGCCUUGAGCUUUUAGUGGCGCAGCUAACGCAUUAAGUUGACCGCCUGGGGAGUACGGCCGCAAGGUUAAAACUCAAAUGAAUUGACGGGGGCCCGCACAAGCGGUGGAGCAUGGGGGUUUAAUUCGAAGCAACGCGAAGAACCUUACCAGGGCCUUGACAUCCAAUGAACUUUCUAGAGAUAGAUUGGUGCCUUUCGGGACAUUGAGACAGGUGCUUGCAUGGCUGUCGUCAGCUCGUGUCGUGAAGAUGGUUUGGGUUUAAGUCCGUACGAGCGCACCCUUGUCUUAGUUACUAGCACGUAAUGUGGGCACUCUAAGGAGACUG
This 1120-nucleotide ribosomal RNA is filed under the name Pseudomonas sp. Its description in RNAcentral is "bacterial SSU rRNA". It matches the Rfam family "Bacterial small subunit ribosomal RNA", at positions 40 to 1151 of the family's 1533-position model. Lineage: Bacteria; Pseudomonadati; Pseudomonadota; Gammaproteobacteria; Pseudomonadales; Pseudomonadaceae. The record is from RNAcentral.